AGUUAAAAUUUUCAUUCAUUUCUACUAUUAAAAACUGAUAUGGCUGACGGAAUAACUAUAUAAUUACACGUGGCGUACCGCGUUUACCUCAUAUCGACGUACAAAGAUCAGUUUUUAACAGUAGAAAUGGAUGAAUUUUUUAAUA
Gossypium arboreum is the source of this 145-nucleotide non-coding RNA. NCBI's taxonomy places the organism in Eukaryota, Viridiplantae, Streptophyta, Magnoliopsida, Malvales, Malvaceae. The record is from Rfam.